AACUAGCGAAGGGUUAUGCCGUGUAGUGAUAGUGCAGAGUGACUCUGUUACCCAAGGUUGCUGACGUUGUGAGAGAGGUGUUGCAUCCAGCCAGAAGACACCUUAAAAGGUGACAAUAGCAGAUUAGAUGCCCCAAUGGGCUCUUUCAUAAAUUUCUCCAUCCCCUGUAAUUGGCAUUGAACAGGAUGAGUAGCAAAUAAGGUAAAGGCAAUUAUGUCAUUAUUAGUGAUGACAUACAAAUUAUCGUAGGUGAGGGGAUUGCCGAGCCACUCAUCAGCUGUAUGCUUGUUUCUUCACGAUCGAACUCGGGAACUCUUGGUAAUGCCCGUGGUAUGUAGAUUUAGAUUUGCCAAUCCAAUCUGUUUGCGUUUCUAUUGGGUACUAGAGGUGUGUUUAAGUUGUAACAACAGUCAAUCUAGGUGUGGUCCCUGUAUUAAGAAAUUGGGGUUUCAUGCUUAUUCUCUCAGUUGUGUCGUCACUUUUGGCUUUGGUUUUAAGCAAAGAUGGAAGACUAGUCCUAGUCUUUGUAUGUUGUACUGUUUCUAGCUUUGUUCUGAAGGUUGUUGAAGCCUUCGGCCCUUUCUUUCAAUUUUUAAUAAACAUUCUCAUUAUCCAUCAAAAAAACAAGCAAUCCUGGGAGGCAUAUAAGGAGAUGGACAAAGAAGAUCCUAAGCAACAUCACUUAUUUGAAUUUCGGCGAGCGUUGGAAAUUUUGGAGGAACUGGAAAAAAGUGAAAUAGGUUCGCCAAGCUUUAACUAGUGUUGGGAAAAUGGUUGGUUUUUCUUUAUGUGAAGAUGAAGAGGACUUUGAUGUGUUGCUCGAAUUUGUAGAGGAAAGAGAUGCAGAAACAUCAAACUUUAGGCACUCUCCUCAAAGUAUACAUAUAAAGGUAUGUGUGUACUCAUGGGUCUCGAUUCUUUGGUUAAUUAUGAAAAGCAUGGAGGGGGAAUAAGAAAAUGGCACUCAAGAGGGGGAAAUCAAGGGAAGGGAUAACAACAGGCUCAAAGAAAGAUGUUGGUUUGGAAUGUGCAAUGGUUAAGACAUCUAGAUAAUAGGAUGCAAAUUAAAGACAUGAGAUUAUCAGAAGGCUCAGGUGGUAGCUUACAGGAAACCAAGCUUCAGAAUCCAGAAAUUUCUCUUCUUAGAUUUGUCUGGGUGAAAUCUAUUUUGGAGUGCCAUUCUAAGUUUGGUAGGAGCUUCUCACAACAUAGUUGUCAGGUGGUGAUCAGACAAUACUUUUUUGUGUCGAUUUUGUUUUCAGUUCUGCGGUAACUUUAAAUAGGUCUUCAUGACCUUAUAACCAUGGUCAAAGGGCAUAGUUCUGGUGGAGCUUAACAAGGUAGUUUUGGAAACAUGAAAAUCAUUGGAAAUCAAAUUAGUUUCCAUGAAUAUGGUGAUUUUGGUAGCUGUAUUGUAAAAAGUAGCUGCGGAAAUUGAUCGUCAAUAUUAUACAUUUCCUCGGAAAAUGAGUAGGGGUGUUCGGUUAAGAAGAUCUUAAAUGUUGAUAUGAAAACUCCCAUGGAAAUAAGUUAAUGUGGGAAACAAUAGAAAUGUUGAAAGGUCAACAAUUAAUAUACAUUAUUUGUUUUGUAAGUUGAUUUCCAUGGAAAGUUCAAAUGGUCAAUGGUUAAUAAUUAGCGGCAUCUCACGUUAUCGUGGAAAUGCCCAUGGAUUAGCUUUUUGAGAAGAAAUCAAUUUAUUGAUUUUCUGAGAGUUAAACUUAGUAAAUUAGAUUGUGGAAGAUAUGGAGAAGAAGAAAACAGAGAAGAGGAGAAUAUUUUUUUGAAUCUCUCUCCCUCUACUAGCUUUUAUUUGUAGAUCAUUUGUUGCAAUUGAUAAUCCCAAUCAAAGGUACUACCAAAUCUUAAAAGAUACUACCAAUCAAAGAUUUUACCAAGUACCAAAUUCUAAAAGGUACACAUCAAUAUAUGUUGCAUUACAGAGCAUGAAGAUACUGUUCACUCUCACAUGUGUUCCCUCACACGUACUCACAAGUAUGUGUACUUUAACACCGAGGAAAAGUGUAAUAGUGACGGUCAGUUUCUACAACUACAUUUUACAAAGCAAAUAAUGAAAAAAACAUCACCUCUGUGGAAACUAAUUUGGUUUCCAGCAAUUUCCACGUUCCCAAACGCGCCCUAAACUGAUUUCUUUUCAAAAAGCUAAUCCAUGGGCAUUUCUAGGAUAAUGUGAGACACCUCUCUUUUUUAAUCCUUGAUUCUUUAACAUUUCUAUGGAAAUGAAUUUAUAAAACAAAUAAUGUUAUACUGACUAUUGACCUUUCAACAUUUCCACUAUUUUCCAUGUUGACCAUUUUCUAGGGGGCUUUUAUGUCCACAUUUGGGAUUCACCUUACCCAAACAUGCACUAAGCUAGAUGUUGAAACAAAAGUGCAUGAGGAGGAAAUCAAAUGGUGUCAAAGACCUAGAGCAACCUAGCUGAAGUAAAGAGAUGAAAACACCAAGUUUUUUCAUGGGUUUGAGAAUGCAAGAAAAAGAAAAAAUAAGAUCCAGGGCCCAUCAAUUGAUGGAAGAAGGGUGGCAGAUUAAUGUUUUAUUUUACUUGCAGUAAUAGGUUGAGAAUCUUUGGUUGUUGACAUGGCAUGGGGUGAUUGACCCUAGUCAUGAAAGGGAUUCCUUGGUGAAUGAGUAAACAAGAGUAGGAAAAUCUCGCAUAGGAUUAAUUAAUCUCUUGAAGGACACACGGCAAAAACUACUACUAGGACUUUAAAAAUUAGAUGGCGGAAGCCCUUAGAAAGGGUCCAUGUAGGUUGUGGUAGUAGCUUGGAUGUAGUCAAGGGACACCUUUUUAAGGAGCAAUGACGCUCUUGCUAAGGUAGACUACUCCACUUCUACCAUGUGGCAGAAGCUGCGGCUGUCUGGAGCUUAGUUGGGUUUCAGACCUGCCAAGAAUACUCCUUUGGGAGUCUUUGAGCACCGCUUUGUGAGGAGCCUCGCGGGUUCUACCAUGUGGUAGAAGCCAUAUUAUUUAGGCACUAGGUUGUAGUGAAGCAAAAGGUGCAAGCCUUUUUAGGCAUGUGAGUCUUAACUUUGUCAGGAGUGCAUUGUGGCACCAUCCGUAAUCAUGAUGAAGGUUGCCCUGUCUUUGUGGCAGAGGUUGUGGCCUCUUCUGUGAUUUUUCAUUCUCAAACACACACACACACACAUGUAGAGUCUUUGAACUCCAAUAUGGGUCCCACAAAAUCUCAAAAAGAUAGGGAUUGAUUCCCCAUAAAAUCUUAGAAUGAUAGGGAUUGGAUCCCAUUAUUCCAAUUAGUAGUACUUCAAUCCAAAUCAACACAGUAAGACUUGUUCCCAUGAUGACCCAUUGGCUUUGCAUAGCUGUGUUCCCCUCAUAAGAUAUCAUUUGUGGAAGAAAAACAAACUCAUUCAAUCUGGGAUCUGCGUCAAUCAAUCUUCAAGCCCCGAUCUCAUAAUGGUGUACAUGCAUAGAGAGUGAUUGGUAAUAGGGGCCUACAGCAAGUUCUAGUCUAAGAAGAUUGGAUCUGGUGGAUAGAAUGGUGUGGUGAUUUGGACAUUUUGCUGAUAUUAAACUUUUCUGAUCUUUCCAACUACCAUGGAGACCUGUUUUGCAGCUAUGAGAGGAGGUGACGAACUGGGGAAGGCAAUUUCCCAAGAAGAAAAUUGAGGAGGUUGAACAAGUGUUGCGUAAGAGGAAUAACAAUUUUCCUCCAAUUUAGCACAUGGGUAACCAAGGAAGAGUAAAAGAUCUUCCUCUAUCAGCUACAUGAGAAGAAUCACUCGCUGUAGUCAAGUUCUCUCCAACUCAAGGGAAAUGAUACAUGCUGAGGGCCUACGAAUACCCCAUAAGCCCUUGAAGGAACAUCAAAAGAUUGGUUCCAUAGGAAGUGUAGUGGCAAACCCCAUUCAGAAAGCACAUGGAUAACUGAUGAAGACUUGAAAAUGAUCAUCAUUGACUUGUAUAAGGUAUAUAAGGAUUACAACCACUUGUUGUAGUCAAGUUUCCAACUCAGGGGAAAUGAUACAUGUCGAGGGCCUACUGUUACUUCACAUAAGCCCUUGAAGGAACACCAAAAGAUAACCCUCAGGAGCUGUAUUGCAGAAAGAGACAUGGGGAGUUGAUCCUCAUAAUUUGGAGCAUGUCGGCCAACUUGGUUGAUGAGGUCAUCAUGAUGCCAUCUUCUUGGCAAAUGACAAUGUGCCGAUAUCAACAUCCUAGUGAAAUAGAAGGUUUUUAUUUUUUAUUUUUUAUUUUUUUUAUAGAGUUUUUUCCUUCACCUGCACUUUUAUGUGCUCGGAUACUUGACUUUCGAGGAACUGUGCAUCAGAACUCACCUACUUGAUUGUCAAUUUGUGUCAAUAUUCCUCCUCACCUCCUCGAUCAAAGUCCUGUUGGGUCUUGCCCUCAUCAUCCUUUGGGCAAAGGUUCCCCUCCUUAAUAGGGCUCUCUAGUUUUCGUAGCACAUGGUCAAACCAUCUCAAUCUACUCUCCAUUAUUUUUUCUUUUCUUAGGGCUAUGCUUAGGCCACUUUAUGGAAGAUCAGCCACUAUGGAAGAUCUGCUUUGGACAACUUUAUUCUUGCAUAGUCUUCCUAGACAACCAUUUCAUCAUUUUCAUCUCAACAAAGAUACGUUGUUCCUCAAUCUCUGCCCAACGUUCCUUGUCACAACAUGAUCUUAUAGGCCGAUGAUGGCUCAGCUCAAGCCAUACCCCCUGGAGGGUCAUAUAAUAAUCUCCCACAGACCGAUCACCUUGUCGAAAGUGAGCAAUUUCUCUAGUCAACUGAAACAACUUAGCUAUCUUCCUUUUCUGUGAGUAUGAGGAAGCAAUACUCCUAGAUUUCUUUAGUAGUUUCACAGUACAUAAAUGUCCUAACGCUCGUUUAGUAGACAACAAGUGGAGUGCAUAAGCCCAACAGUUACAGGGGUGAGGCCUUACCACACGAGCUUGUAAGUCAAGCACGGAAUGAGCCUUGUCCACGAAGCUUCGCUUCCUCAUCUUGCUUGCUUCUGGCGAAGCUUCUAGUCUGUAGGCAUUCUGGUAUGGUAAGAAUAAUAAUUUGAAGGCCGACCACUACAUAGGAUAGCGAAGCCAAGCCAUUAAAAGGUGAGCAGCCCUUAUAGCAAUAUCAAACAGCCUACUUAUAGCCCUAUUUUUCUUAUUUAGGCACUACUAAAAUAAAUUGACUACAGAAGUACCAAAUGCGACCGGUCCAUGAGACUGCCUUCUUAACAAAAGGCAAAAGGCCCCCUGUUGCUUUUUGAAUAGCCGUCAGGGACCUAUGCUAUGGGAAAGAAAAAUUGGGGUUGUUGUUGGGAGGUCCAAUGCUUACGCUUACCUGAUUUCUGCCUUCAUUGAAUGAAGCAACCAUGGUAUGAUCAUCAUAUUCUCAGCCUCCCAAUUUGUGUGAGAUGGAUCCGGAGAUGAAGUAUCCAAAAUAUUAGCAUCAAGAUACCCCAACUUCCAUUUCGCUCCAAUGAACAAACAUUCUGGCUGACUUGGACCAUUCAAGAUAGUUUUCUCCAUCAAAUUUCAUAGUAGUAAUUUGAAACCCAGCGUGUUCCAAAACACCAGAUCCAGAGACACCCUUUGAAUUUGACAUUAUACUUGAUGAGCUACUUGCAGUAAGAGAAACUUCUUCAUUAGACUUACCAGAUGUCCAUUGCAACCAAUCACCACAAAAAAAAAGAAAAAAAGAAAAAAAGAAAUAAAAAAGAAAAGAAAAGAAAAA
Molecule: long non-coding RNA, 5714 nt
Organism: Magnolia sinica
Lineage: Eukaryota; Viridiplantae; Streptophyta; Magnoliopsida; Magnoliales; Magnoliaceae
Exons: 2
Source: RefSeq, a predicted model, not a curated record